This 372-nucleotide ribosomal RNA is filed under the name uncultured Bacteroidota bacterium. RNAcentral's name for it is "bacterial SSU rRNA". It matches the Rfam family "Bacterial small subunit ribosomal RNA", at positions 521 to 896 of the family's 1533-position model. Lineage: Bacteria; Pseudomonadati; Bacteroidota. The record is from RNAcentral.
UAAUACGGAGGGUGCAAGCGUUAUCCGGAUUUAUUGGGUUUAAAGGGUCCGUAGGCGGAUCAUUAAGUCAGUGGUGAAAUCCGACAGCUCAACUGUCGAACUGCCAUUGAUACUGAUGAUCUUGAGUACGGUUGAAGUAGGCGGAAUAUGACAUGUAGCGGUGAAAUGCUUAGAUAUGUCAUGGAACACCGAUUGCGAAGGCAGCCUACUAAGCCGUUACUGACGCUGAGGGACGAAAGUGUGGGGAGCGAACAGGAUUAGAUACCCUGGUAGUCCACACCGUAAACGAUGAUUACUCGGUAUUGGCAUUUAAUGUCAGUGCCCAAGCGAAAGUGAUAAGUAAUCCACCUGGGGAGUACGGCCGCAAGGUUG